RNAcentral lists this ribosomal RNA (469 nucleotides) under uncultured bacterium. RNAcentral's name for it is "partial 16S ribosomal RNA". It matches the Rfam family "Bacterial small subunit ribosomal RNA", at positions 28 to 507 of the family's 1533-position model. The record is from RNAcentral.
GACGAACGCUGGCGGCGUGCUUAACACAUGCAAGUCGAACGGAAAGGCCCUGCUUGCUGGGUGCUCGAGUGGCGAACGGGUGAGUAACACGUGGGUGAUCUGCCCCUUACUUUGGGAUAAGCCUGGGAAACUGGGUCUAAUACUGGAUAGGACCAUGCUGUAGGUGGUGUGGUGGAAAGAUUAGUUUCGGUAAGGGAUGAGCUCGCGGCCUAUCAGCUUGUUGGUGGGGUAAUGGCCUACCAAGGCGUCGACGGGUAGCCGGCCUGAGAGGGUGGACGGCAACAUUGGGACUGAGAUACGACCCAGACUCCUACGGGAGGCAGCAGUGGGGAAUAUUGCACAAUGGGCGCAAGCCUGAUGCGGCGACGCCGCGUGGGGGAUGACGGCCUUCGGGUUGUAAACUCCUUUCAGCCAUGACGAAGCCCUUGUGGUGACGGUAGUGUUAGAAGAAGCACCGGCUAACUACGUG